Long non-coding RNA from Gallus gallus (chicken), 244 nucleotides. RefSeq lists it as uncharacterized. The transcript is spliced from 2 exons. NCBI's taxonomy places the organism in Eukaryota, Metazoa, Chordata, Aves, Galliformes, Phasianidae. The record is from RefSeq and is a predicted model, not a curated record.
ACGCAUGCGUAGGACUCGCGGUAUAAAGGCGCGCACACGUGGGGCUUCGGUCUGUUCAAUUUGGAAGUGUAGCAGCCCGGCUAGGAUCCUUCACGUGAAGAUGAGACAAAAAGCGCCUUCGUGAGAACGGUGGUGGCGGAUUUACAACUGAAAUGCUUCGAAGCUGUGCGGAACGUUUAUAAAAGAAUGCUCGUACGAAUGGAGCUGAGUACUUUCAAUAAAAAUUUACUCGCUUGAACACUUA